CAGUAGCCGCGGGAAUACGAAGGGGGCUAGCGUUGUUCGGAAUUACUGGGCGUAAAGCGCACGUAGGCGGAUAUUUAAGUCAGGGGUGAAAUCCCGCAGCUCAACUGCGGAACUGCCUUUGAUACUGGGUAUCUUGAGUAUGGAAGAGGUUAGUGGAAUUGCGAGUGUAGAGGUGGAAUUCGUAGAUAUUCGCAGGAACACCAGUGGCGAAGGCGGCUAACUGGUCUGUAACUGACGCUGAGGAGCGAAAGCGUGGGGAGCGAACAGGAUUAGAUACCCCGGUAGUCCCUGUCUCUUAUAC
RNAcentral lists this ribosomal RNA (301 nucleotides) under uncultured bacterium. RNAcentral's name for it is "partial 16S ribosomal RNA". It matches the Rfam family "Bacterial small subunit ribosomal RNA", at positions 509 to 807 of the family's 1533-position model. The record is from RNAcentral.